UGUGCUUCUUCAGGACCCAGUGAAGAGUCAAAAACCAGAGUCAGACUCGGAGAGACCAUCCUGUCAGUACAACACCUGGACACAGAUUUCGGCAUGUAUACCUGAGUCACAGAGACCCUCACAGGGGACAGAGCUGGUGUUGGAAGUGAAUCCAGAGCUGGAGGCGACCCCCAGGCUCAGACCUGACAGAUAAGCGUGGCGUCGGCCCCCCAGAGAUCUUCACGGAGGACAUGAGAAUCCACCAGGAAAAUGAAUAAUGCAUCUAUCUUGCUCUCUUUUCUGAGCGGAGUCCCUGCAGUAUCCAUGAAAACAGCUACAGCAGUAUAGUGAAGUCAAAUUUGCUGGUAAGCAAG
Molecule: long non-coding RNA, 353 nt
Organism: Monopterus albus (swamp eel)
Lineage: Eukaryota; Metazoa; Chordata; Actinopteri; Synbranchiformes; Synbranchidae
Exons: 3
Source: RefSeq, a predicted model, not a curated record